Molecule: long non-coding RNA, 399 nt
Filed under: Heterocephalus glaber (naked mole-rat)
Lineage: Eukaryota; Metazoa; Chordata; Mammalia; Rodentia; Bathyergidae
Description: lncRNA (ENSHGLG00100048145.1)
Source: RNAcentral
CUCUUCCUGACUUCCUAAAACGAAUCCUACUUCACUAUGCUGUGUAACAUUUUUGAUGUGCUGUUGGAUUCAGUUUGUUAGUUUGUCAUUAAGAAACAACACCUAGACAGGCAGGUCUGUGGACGCUGUAGCAACGUUGCUAGUUGCGUGGAAUGUGCCGAAUCAGCCCAUUGCAGACAGCUACCUGGUUCCACACUACAAAGACGCAGAGGACACCGGACCACCAGACCACUGUACUGGAUGGCUUGCAUGAUUGCUUAGAAAGUCAGAAAAUGGACCCAAAUUACAUCACAUUUAUAUCAAACAUAGUUCCAGUGUGGAUGAUAAAUUAUCUUGUUAUUCUAUAACCAAGACCCACACAAUGGAGGAUUCUUCAAAGAAUUCAUUAAAUCUGCAGAG